RNAcentral lists this non-coding RNA (27 nucleotides) under Rattus norvegicus (Norway rat). The record is from RNAcentral. Lineage: Eukaryota; Metazoa; Chordata; Mammalia; Rodentia; Muridae.
AAGACAAACACUGACAGGAGGAGCUUC